This 373-nucleotide ribosomal RNA is filed under the name uncultured organism. Its description in RNAcentral is "bacterial SSU rRNA". It matches the Rfam family "Bacterial small subunit ribosomal RNA", at positions 526 to 896 of the family's 1533-position model. The record is from RNAcentral.
CGUAGGAGGCGAGCGUUAUCCGGAUUCACUGGGCGUAAAGCGCGUGCAGGCGGUUUGGUAAGUUGGGCGUGAAAGCUCCCGGCUCAACUGGGAGAGGUCGUUCAAUACUACCAAACUAGAGAGUAGAAGAGGAAGAUGGAAUUCCCCGGUGUAGUGGUGAAAUGCGUAGAUAUCGGGAGGAACACCAGUGGCGAAGGCGAUCUUCUGGUCUAUUUCUGACGCUCAGACGCGACAGCUAGGGUAGUAAACGGGAUUAGAGACCCCGGUAAUCCUACCCGUAAACGAUGUGAACUUGGCGUCGGUGGCUUAAACACCAUCGGUGCCGAAGCAAACGCGAUAAGUUCACCGCCUGGGGACUACGGCCGCAAGGUUA